This is a long non-coding RNA of Oncorhynchus tshawytscha (Chinook salmon), 1910 nucleotides long. RefSeq lists it as uncharacterized. The transcript has 2 exons. The record is from RefSeq and is a predicted model, not a curated record. Lineage: Eukaryota; Metazoa; Chordata; Actinopteri; Salmoniformes; Salmonidae.
GGGAGAGGCUGCUCAUUGUCACAAAACCAAUCAGAAACGUCCAGUCUACCUUACACCAAUGACGCCGGUGGAUCUAAAAUGUUUACUUGGGUCCGCGGUGAGAAGCCCUACAACUGCUCCUGGCCCGACUGACAAGAAGUUCUCCCGUUCUGAUGAACAAUUCCGCCACCGGUGGACUCACACGGACGAGAAACGGUUCCAGUGCCUACUGUGUGCCAUGCGCUUCAUGUGAAACGACCACCUGCUCAAACAUGCCCAUCUCCACCCUGGCUUCGAACUGUCCAUGAUCAGUCAUUAGGGGGAGUAAGGCCUGGGGUUUAUUCAUUAGUCAGAUUCUGUUCAAAAACAUUUCUCCAAACAGAAAACAUUUAGCAAAGAAAACAAGAGUUUCUAUUGGACAAAUUCAGGUAGGUUCUGUUUGCUUCCGUUUGGUUUCUAGAGUAAACGGUAACGGUUUCUGUAGCAAAAUGUUUUGCGAAAGACCAAACGUUUUGCAAUGGAAUCCGACUAAUGAAUACACCCCUGGUCAGACCAAUGGAUAACUGGAUCUCCACUGUGGGGAAGCAGAAGUACAGGAUAGGAGAGGAAGAGUUUCUGUAGCCGUGCCCUGGUCCCAGAUCUGUCUUAAGAAAACUCCUGUGAUUAUUGUCAUGAUGCCAUACAUUCAUGUUUGGCUUGACAAGGACCACACAUGGCACAGCAGAGUUGGCUAAAGCACACAUACAGAUGGGAUCAGGUAGCCUACUUCACUCAGCCAACUCUUGGAUUUGGUAUGGUAUUUGACUGGUAAUCUGAGCUCUGAAAGCCAGGCCGAAGACAUACCAUUUUCCAACGAUUGAGAAAGCCCUUUCUGAUUACAGUUUAUUUUUGUCACUUUGGUGCAUUUCACAAGUAUAUGGUACAUUUUUACCACGCUUUGUACAGAACAUCAAAAAUGCAUUUGUUUUAAAACUCUGCAGGUUUUUCUAUUGACUAGGUUCAACACCCAAUCAGUUAUUCACCAAACUUAAACAGUGUUUCAUCUAGAAAUACAUGUUCAUAUUAAGUAGUAGCUUUUAACAAUGCAAUACUCAUUACUUUUAGUAUGAUUGUCUUCUCAUUUGUUAAAAUACAUAUAAUUGACUUAAUCCAACUGCUCUUAAUUGAUAAUCAUUUAACUAUUUGGUAAACCUAUUUAGAUUUAACAGAUUGAGAACACAAUGAAAAUGUUUGAUAAGUAUAAACACACAUACAUAUAUACACACACACAGUAAUGUACUAUUAAGACUUAUGAUUUUACUCCACAGUAAAUAAAUACAAAAAUCUGAUUGACAAGAUGUGUAAUGCAUCCCCUAUACAGUAAACAUGUAUCCAAAAUGAAGUCUUUCAGUGGGGUGUUUCACACUGCUUUGCUAAAAUUGAAUUGGCCAACACAGUAAUGUAAUACCUUAAUAAAAUGGCAUGUACAUAGGCGGCCUUUAAAACCAAAGUGACAGUGAGUCCACACAUUGUAAGUGACCCUAGAGGGAAUCGAACCCACCACUCUGGUGUUGCUAGCUCCAUUUUCUUACUACAUAACUGAGCCACACAGGACCACUACAAUACAACACAUGUGGAAGGUGUAUGAUCGGCCUUCCCGUGAGCGUGCCACCCUCCUCCAGGCCAUGGAUGAGGCAUGCAAUGACAUCAAUCCAGACCUACAGUAUGACAGGCUUUGAUUCGCCUUGCCAAAAGGGAUUUUCUGAAAUUAUGUGAAUGAGAACCUAUGGCCAAAUGCUCAAGACAGACUUUAUGUAAACUAAUGCCGCCAAAUGUCAUGUUUCUUUCAUUUAAUUACAGUACACCUACAGUGGCUUGCGAAAGUAUUCACCCCCUUGGCAUUUUUCCUAUUUUGUUGCCUUACAACCUGGAAUAAAACAUUUAUUUUUGGG